Long non-coding RNA from Pseudopipra pipra, 5799 nucleotides. RefSeq lists it as uncharacterized. The record is from RefSeq and is a predicted model, not a curated record. The transcript has 3 exons. Lineage: Eukaryota; Metazoa; Chordata; Aves; Passeriformes; Pipridae.
GAAAGGCAGAGAAAAGGACAGCGGUGCAAGAACAGAUAUAUUUCAAACAGACAUCCCUUCCACGAUACACGAUGCCCUUUCCACAGGCAGAGGGAUGAGGUUUCCAGAACCCACAGAUAAACAGACAGCGAGGGCCUACAACAUCCAUAACAUAUGGGGGGCGAUGAAGGAAGUCUGGAGGAAGCACAGGCGAGAUCCCGCUCAAAGAGAACACGCAGGCUGGUACCCCUGGGGAAGUGGAGGAGGCAGGUUUGCCCAAUGGACACUUUUACACAGUUGUUGAAAUAAAAAUCUUGUCUUGCUUCUGCUGCAUUUUAUAACAUCUGGACUCCGUACAGGCAAUGGAGCACAUAUUGGUUCUGUUCUAUGCUCUCUGCCCUGGAGAGACAACAAGUACUGCUGGUCAAAAAGCUCUUAUUUUGUGAGUCUACCGAAGAGGGAAUGCAAGUGGAAAACAAGUGGAAGAAAAUCAUCAGUACCGCUCAAAAACAUUCCUUCCCUAUUGCAAUACUUGGACUUGAAUGCUCUUAUUAAAAUCACCAUAUCAACUGUAAAGUUUUGUACAAAAUUUGUACAGAAUCCCAGGAAAAAGGAAAUCCCAUGAAAACAUACCAUUCUAGACCCAGAUGGACUUCCACGCUUGACAAGGAGAAUUUUGCCACCGGUUCAAUUGAGAACACUUGGGGUAAACCUUCUGCAGUCACUAAUUCUUCUUCUCUUCUAGUGUUCAUUCAUAUGAUAGCAAAACAAUGCUAAAACGGAACAGAAGAAGUACUUAGAGCUCUUUGAGAAAACACAGGGCAGGUCCUGAGGUAAUUAAAUUAGCCCAGUUCCAUUGUUUCUGGUGAUAUAUACUGUAUUCACUGAAGCUAUACCAAUUUUUCCUAUUCAAGGCUCAGGCUGACAGUGUUUGAGCACAUCGUUGUUCCAUAGGAUGCUGCUCUAUCUGUACAUCUGGGUGGGAUAGAAAUCAGAGACCAAAUGCAGUCCUUGGACGACACUUCAGAAGUAUUACAGAAGAUUGUCUGCAUUUUGUAUGAAAAAAUGUAAAUUAUUUUCAGAGUGAAUUCAGAUCGGGGACGGCCCCUUCGAGAAGCCUAGCCAUGAAAAUGAAAUGAAUUCAGUUCAUUUUUCACAACUUAAUUUUACAGAGAUGUGUAGCUGCAGCUGGACACUGCUUGUACUGGUUAAACUGUACAGUUGUGGCAAGGGUCCAGUCACUUGGAGGGCUUUGCAAGUGCAGCUGAUCAGUCUCCUCAGCCACACCUAAGUCAUACUGGCUUCCACCCACUUGCUUCACCUCACAGAUGAAAGGCAGAAACUUUUCACCUGGUCUGAUACCUCUCAUACAUACAAGUAUGCACAUGUGUUUAUAGGCUACAAAUAAUUUACAUAUUUUAAAACCAAACAAAAUGAAAGCAAACAUGCAAUAGGGAUGUAUGACAUGUGUAGCGUGUUGGAGGUAAAGCCCAGUUUCCAGAGGCUACUGACAAUUGCCUCAUGCCAUAGGGAAAGGCAUUACUUUCCUUAAUGCGUGGAGCCAAUUAUACCAGUGUCUUGACAGAGGGGAGGGGGAGAAAUCUUUUCACUGACCCUGACAGACAACAAGCUUGCACCCUGAAGCCUGAUGUCUGAUUAGUUUUUCAGGUUUUUUACUGACAGGCUGUUAAGUAAUAAAAUAGUUUUUCCUCAGACCAAUACUAUUUCGUUUAUCAAUAUGCCAUUUGAUGUAUUCCUCUUUGUUUACGACAUCAACUUAAAUACCUGUACCUUCCCUCCUGAAGAUGUGGAAUCGCAAAGCAACAAGCCCAGUUAGUGGCAGCUGAGUGUCAGUAAUACCUGCAGAGAUUAAGGGAAGAGAAUAUUUAUAAGCAACCUAAUAUUUUAGAGUACUUUUCAUAAAAAAUGGAAUCUAGCAAUUAGGUAAUAAUAUAAAAAGCACUAAAUAAUAUAGUAUUAAAAGGUCAUGUUUACAUAAUAGCCACACAGAGAAAAAAAAGUUAGGCAUUUGAUUUCACUCUGAACUUCAUGCCUUUGAUAAAUCUAAGAUUAUUGUUGUAUUAAAGCCAUUUUAUAUCCUCAGUGGGAGUUAAAGCACUCAGCACUUGCAGGACUGAAGUAAGGAUGGGAGCAGUAAUUUGACCACUCUCGAAUUGUACUGCCUAACAUCUGAGAAGGAUCAGAAAGACAAUCCUUAGCCCUGAGCAUUAUAUACAAAUGAAAUAGGGGUUAUCUGGGGGCAGCAUAAUUCAUUAAAUGUUCCUUCUAAAUGUAAAACACCAAAUUCCCUCGACACAGUCAGCCUUUCUAUCUGCCGUCUAGUUGUGACAUAAAAAACUGUAUUACAGUGAGAGUAAACUGAAAUUCAGAAAAGCCCAGAAGUUCACUGUUAAAGCUCUUUCUAUUUUCUCAUUACAUCUUGUAACAAACAGGCAGCAAAAACCUUAUAGGUAUCACAGUCCUUUGAAAAAGUGACUGAUUUUAGAAGAUGGGAUUGUCAGCUGUGUCAUUUAGGAAAUUUACAUUAACUGUAAUCUAAUUACCCUGUAGUUCUAUCAGCUAAGAAUCUGAUCCAGGAGCUGUAACAGUUAAAAAAGCAUCCAUAUAUAGCUUCAUCUUCCCCUUGAAUGUCUUUUACUUCAGGCCAGUGCUGGGAAAAAUUUCAGACAAAUACUCUGAUCAGAUUUUUAUGAAGAUUCAGUAGAAUUACAUUGGGACAGAAAAAAGUAUAUUUCAAGGAAGGUGAAAGGAAUCAGACCAAAUUUCUAAAAAAUCUCGUAAUUGUACUGUAAGAUGGGUUCAUCACUCCAUUACACAGACUGUGUUCUCUUAUCAUUGAUACAUUUAUCCUUACAUCAAGCUUCCUCAUGAAACAAGGAAGGGCUAGUUGUCCAGUCUCGUCAAACAGGACACAACAGGGUAAGUAAGUGACUUGUUUAAGGCUACACAGAGAAGAUGUAUCAGAAGAGCAUGAGUCUUUCUCAUGCUGGGCUCAUGCCCCAGUCCCUGGACCACUUCUGCCUGCCUAGUUCACCUUCUGUUAUUUAAUUAAUACAGGCUCUAUCGAUAAUCUUUAGAAAGGCAGUUACUUAUACUCCAGCUUAACCAAUGCAGAAAAGUGGAGACGUCUGUCUUGUGAGCUGACAAAUGGAGGGUGUUAUAUAAAGGCAACUGAUUUUACAUUUGCUGUUACCAUGCCAUUAACAGGCGACCAGUCCAAUGACCAGGGAGUUUUAAAGGUGCUCCCCUUGGCUUCAUCAGCACAGCCCAGCGCCCUGCUCAUGUUCUCAGUCACGCGAGACAGAGGCAGUCAAGUAGCAACACUGAUCCCCUUCCAUUGUACAGCCCCAGCUGUGCUCACAAAGAUGGGAUGAAGUCUCAGUGUCUGAAGGAAGGUACUGCUGACCCCUGUGCAUAUUCAGUUAUGAUGAGUGACACUUGUUUUCACUAUAAAUUGAUGACAAAUGUGAAGGAAAGUUAAAGAAGUCUUGGACAACAGCUUUGUAGGAAUUACCCUAAGUGAGACUAUAAAAAUAUUUGUGGAGAAAAGGGAAUGGAGAAGGAUUUAUGUUUCCUUUAUUUUUUUAUAAUUGUGUUUUAAAAUUUCCUCAUGGAAACUCUUCUGAUUCAUGUAUUUGAAAACUACACUUUCUGCCUGUUCAGCCUUUCCCACAGUAGGUCAGUCCUGAUUCACUGUCCACUGAAGCAGACAUUUGUAGUUCCUUGUGUUUGUGUUAAACUUUACCAAGAGAUUUUGAAACUGUAAUAUAAAUGCACAUCUAGGGUCCCUCUAAAACUCAAGAUUACAUUUAAACAGAUAUUUUUAAGUCCUUUAAGAUAGAUUAUAUACUAACCAUGACAUUAAAAGUGGUUACUAGAAAGAUUUGGUUCCUUUUCAAUCUAUCAGUGACUAUGCAGCAUUGCAAAGUGGCCAGUGGAAGAAAUAGGUGAAUCUGGCAACUUACUGGCUUUUUAUUGUCUUAAUGUAGUGAGAUAAAGAACAGGCAAAAUAUGCCUUUUUUUGAGCAAUUCCAUUUUUAUUCAAAAUCUAUGACGGCUUACCUUAAAAAUAUAUGAUGCUAUUGAGUUCAGCAAGCUGCAUGAUUUAUUAACCCUGGCUCACCAUUUCUCCCUGUCAGUUAUAUGUGAUCAGUUAUUGCAAGUGCCUAUCACUCAUUAUAUAUUUAUUUAUUGGAAUUUAGAGACAGUCUUUUAGAAGACUUUCAUACAUGGGUAUUAGGGCCCGAUACUCAAGAACUACUUUCAGCUAGCCAGUGAAACAUAUGUUAUAAUGAAUAGUAUCAGUUAAUAGAAAUCCUGUAGCCUCAUGCUUCCCGCUUACCUCAACUCUGAGAAUCUGGCCUGUUAUCACUGACCUUGUACCUGACCAUUUUUGGUGCAGUUUUGCUCUGGCACGGUGCACUGAUGCUGAGACAUUUUCCCAGAAAAAAACACAAAAUGUUGUACACCAUCUCAUGUCAGGUAUUCUGUACCUCAAAUUGGUGGAACAAAGCAUGUUAUUUCCACUUAGUGGGAAGAAACCAACAUUGUUAUUUCUACUGCUCUAGUGUCAGGGCUUUUUAUUUCCACUGCAAUGAUUGUACAGGCUCUCAUAACCAAUAAGCCAACAUCCAACCCUGCCAAAAAAAACAACAAAAAAACCCUUGGCUGGUCUGAAGCACAUUAGAGCAUGCAAAAGAAAACUGACUCCCGGCUGCAGCUAGAAUGGAAAUGUCUACUCUCUUGAUAGCAGUGGUGGAAUUUAACUAAAAAAAGGAUAUUUUUCUGACACAUGGGCAACCUCUGGAGUGUUUCCGGUUCUCCAUAUGAUGCAAGCAGAAAAAAACAAAACAACGAGCCAAGGGCACGUAUAGAUUCCUAACUUCAAAAAGGGGGAAGGAAACAUGCACUACUUGCUUAUGGUUGUGUAAAAUAAAUGCAGUUCAGGUUUAAAGAUUCUGAACACAAGCAGUCAGAUACAAAGGACCCAGACACACCAUAUCAGAUGAAAAAAAAAAGUCAUCUCUGUCUACAGCACCAUUUUUAGGAGAAUUUCCUCUGAAUAAUGGACACAGAAUCCCUUCUCAAAAUUCCUGCAAUGAGAAGCAGCUUGAGGGUGAAAUUGUCGCUUCCUGGAAACUUUGUCACAGAGUUGAUGUGAACUAGUUCACUGUGAACACUGGCUGUGCCCCAUUCCCAUCUAGCUCUUCUCACUUGUUAACCUGAACUGCCCUCAGUCCGCAGCCCUCUGAGUGACCUUUUCUUACAGCACAGCCUGGUGCUGUGACCUACUCCAGCUCCCAAUAACAGGCUUUCUGUUUCACAGCAUGUGAACCUGGGCCAGGAAAAGUUGGGUUAGAUUUUAUGGGGCUUGUGGACUACAGAGACAUUGCCCCCAAACACACAGGAAGUUGGAUUCUUGGGUUAGUGGAAAUCUACAUCACCUCAUGUAUGUAAUAUAGAACAAGAUGCAUUUGUUUUAGCUGAGUGUACAAUCUCUAUAUUUUGUGUUUACAUAGGAUUCAUUUGCUGUGGUGAGAAUAAAAUCUUGGUUUUAUUCCUCAUCAGUGGAAAAUAUAGGUCUCUACUGUCCAUGAAACUAAGAUUCACUCAUAUUUACAUGGCUUUAGUAACACCUGAUGUAUUUUUAAAUGAUAGAAACUUCAGGAGAGAAACUAAAAGAUGCUCUUUCGUGAAACUGAUGAUUCUGUUAUUUGCAAACAUAAUAAAUUAGCACCAAAUGUGUGCAGAAAUAUGAAAAUGAGUUCUUUGACAGAAAUUAUCACCUUUCACCUUGAA